Molecule: ribosomal RNA, 736 nt
Filed under: uncultured Campylobacterota bacterium
Lineage: Bacteria; Pseudomonadati; Campylobacterota
Description: bacterial SSU rRNA
Rfam family: Bacterial small subunit ribosomal RNA
Source: RNAcentral
CAGCCGCCGCGGUAAUACGGAGGGUGCAAGCGUUACUCGGAAUCACUGGGCGUAAAGCGCGCGCAGGCGGCCUUUUAAGUUGGAUGUGAAAGCCUACGGCUCAACCGUAGAACUGCAUCCAAAACUAUCAGGCUAGAGUGUGGGAGAGGAAGAUGGAAUUAGUUGUGUAGGGGUAAAAUCCGUAGAGAUAACUAGGAAUACCAAAAGCGAAGGCAAUCUUCUGGAACAUUACUGACGCUGAGGCGCGAAAGCGUGGGGAGCAAACAGGAUUAGAUACCCUGGUAGUCCACGCCCUAAACGAUGAAUGUUAGUCGUCGGGUAGCUAGUCUAUUCGGUGAUGCAGCUAACGCAUUAAACAUUCCGCCUGGGGAGUACGGUCGCAAGAUUAAAACUCAAAGGAAUAGACGGGGACCCGCACAAGUGGUGGAGCAUGUGGUUUAAUUCGAAGAUACGCGAAGAACCUUACCUAGCCUUGACAUAUAUUAGAACACUUUAGAGAUAGAGUGGUGCCUUCGGGAGCUUUUAUACAGGUGCUGCACGGCUGUCGUCAGCUCGUGUCGUGAGAUGUUGGGUUAAGUCCCGCAACGAGCGCAACCCUCGUCACUAGUUACUAACGGUUCGGCCGAGGACUCUAGUGAGACUGCCUUCGUAAGGAGGAGGAAGGUGAGGACGACGUCAAGUCAUCAUGGCCCUUACGGCUAGGGCAACACACGUGCUACAAUGGCCAGGACAAUGA